AAAAGUCGUAACAAGGUCUCCGUUGGUGAACCAGCGGAGGGAUCAUUACCGAGUUUACAACUCCCAAACCCCUGUGAACAUACCUAUCGUUGCUUCGGCGGGAUGCCCCAGUUUUGACUUAAAACUGGACCCAGGCGCCCGCCGGAGGACCCAAACUCUUGUUUUUAUAUGUAUCUUCUGAGUAAACAAGCAAAUAAAUUAAAACUUUCAACAACGGAUCUCUUGGUUCUG
RNAcentral lists this unclassified non-coding RNA (231 nucleotides) under Fusicolla acetilerea. Its description in RNAcentral is "partial internal transcribed spacer region". The stretch from base 1 to 48 matches the Rfam family "Eukaryotic small subunit ribosomal RNA", at positions 1784 to 1831 of the family's 1831-position model. The record is from RNAcentral. Lineage: Eukaryota; Fungi; Ascomycota; Sordariomycetes; Hypocreales; Nectriaceae.